RNAcentral lists this ribosomal RNA (673 nucleotides) under Kocuria sp. Pia1s11.2. RNAcentral's name for it is "bacterial SSU rRNA". It matches the Rfam family "Bacterial small subunit ribosomal RNA", at positions 78 to 763 of the family's 1533-position model. The record is from RNAcentral. Lineage: Bacteria; Bacillati; Actinomycetota; Actinomycetes; Micrococcales; Micrococcaceae.
GCUUGCUGGGCGGAUUAGUGGCGAACGGGUGAGUAAUACGUGAGUAACCUGCCCUUGACUCUGGGAUAAGCCUGGGAAACUGGGUCUAAUACUGGAUACUACUUCUUGCCGCAUGGUGGGUGGUGGAAAGGGUUUUACUGGUUUUGGAUGGGCUCACGGCCUAUCAGCUUGUUGGUGGGGUAAUGGCUCACCAAGGCGACGACGGGUAGCCGGCCUGAGAGGGUGACCGGCCACACUGGGACUGAGACACGGCCCAGACUCCUACGGGAGGCAGCAGUGGGGAAUAUUGCACAAUGGGCGGAAGCCUGAUGCAGCGACGCCGCGUGAGGGAUGACGGCCUUCGGGUUGUAAACCUCUUUCAGUAGGGAAGAAGCGAGAGUGACGGUACCUGCAGAAGAAGCGCCGGCUAACUACGUGCCAGCAGCCGCGGUAAUACGUAGGGCGCAAGCGUUGUCCGGAAUUAUUGGGCGUAAAGAGCUCGUAGGCGGUUUGUCGCGUCUGCUGUGAAAGCCCGGGGCUCAACCCCGGGUCUGCAGUGGGUACGGGCAGACUAGAGUGCAGUAGGGGAGACUGGAAUUCCUGGUGUAGCGGUGAAAUGCGCAGAUAUCAGGAGGAACACCGAUGGCGAAGGCAGGUCUCUGGGCUGUUACUGACGCUGAGGAGCGAAAGCAUG